RNAcentral lists this unclassified non-coding RNA (82 nucleotides) under Pseudomonas orientalis. The record is from RNAcentral. Lineage: Bacteria; Pseudomonadati; Pseudomonadota; Gammaproteobacteria; Pseudomonadales; Pseudomonadaceae.
GUGGGAGGGGGCUUGCCCCCGAUAGCGGUGGUUCAGUUACAGGUGAUUGACACACUGCAAUCGGGGGCAAGCCCCCUCCCAC